Molecule: small nuclear RNA, 101 nt
Filed under: Eucalyptus grandis
Lineage: Eukaryota; Viridiplantae; Streptophyta; Magnoliopsida; Myrtales; Myrtaceae
Source: RNAcentral
GUCUUUUUGGAGAUGUUUGAUGCAAUUGGAACGAUACAAACAAAAUUAGCAUAGCCCUAUAAAAAGAUGGCAUGCACAAAUUAGAAAGUGAUUUGAUUUUC